AGGUGUAAUACCACCAAAUCAUGGUACGUCACAUCCGGUUGCAUACGAAAAUAGGUCGAAAAAAAUAUUCCCUUGAAUUUGACAGUUGUAGAAAAUUACCCUUGCAUUUCAAUACACUAAAAUUUUUCUGAGUCAUAAACAUGUUUGUUGGGUGUCUGAAAGCAUCAUUCUUUUUUUAUUUGGUGGUCCUAUAAAAUAUGUUGGAAAGUUAAGGUUACAUAGUUACCAAAGCUGGUAACCAGGAAAUAAAAGGGUACAAAUUUGGGUUGUUUACUUCCGGUGAUGGUUACUUUCUUAUAUGCAAUGAAAUGUAGAGUGAAAUUUUCACUGUAGUACUGGAAAGGAUUAAACUUUAUUCAUGCUAAGUAUUUCUUUAGUUGAAUCAAAGUUGUUUUGCAACCAAUGAACCCGGUGUAAUAGUAGCACCCAGCUGAACAGAGAGUUUGAUAACAGAAUUGGAAUAUUUGUUGUUCACCAUUAGCACAGCAGUAUGAGCCCGACCGGGAAAGUUUCUGUGAAAAGUUACAUUUUUAGGAUUGCACCUACUUAGUGAACGGUUGAAUCCCUCACUUUUUUGAGUUGAGUGUUAAUCAUGUACUGAAGAGCAUUCUGUUGAAAAAUCUUAUAUGUGAAUUGGUCUGCAGAUGACACAUUAGCUUUGAGCCUAAAGAUAUCAAGUUUUGAUGAAAAAAGAAGGAAAAAUGGACCAAAACAGACCUUCAAAUGAACUAAAAAAGCUUAUACAUGUCCUGACUCUAAACAUGCAGAAGAUGAAACAUGCACUAGAAAAGUUUGUGUGUAGACCUAAAGAAAAUCAAUAGAAGUAGAGGCAAGGAGUCUUCUCCAGUGGAUUUAUGGGGACACGAAGACAAACCUUCAAAGACAGAAAAACAGUCCAAAGUGGAACAAAAAAUAGUGCAGCUGUUAAAGAUCUGUUGCAAAAAAAAAACAGGUAUUAAACGAACUAGGUACUGACUCGCUUAUUUUCGUUAGAGAAAAUAAACAAACCAGUAAAGAACUGAAGACUAAACUUCAGGAAAAAAUUCAGGUAUUAUGCAAAAGACUUUAGUUGUUACGUUUUUGUCUACUUGGAAAACAGCAAGGGCUUACUGAAUAAAAGAACAAAGCAGAAAAAGAUGGGUUUUCGGACUGGAAACAGUCAAAAUACGCAUAUGUAAUAAGUGCAAUGAAAACAAACAUUGCACUUGUUGAAGAAUUCUUAGUUGGAAUGAUGAAUGUAAUUAAUACACUUUGUCAAUUUUGCUCCGUUUUAUACAAUUCAGAAAGAAAUUUUAGAUGUGACAUCGUGGUAACAAUGAGCAAACAAGACAAUCUGAAAUGCUUGAGGACGAUCUCAGAAAACGGAUUUAUGAAAAAAGCAAGUAGGAAAAAUUCACGAAACAACAAUCCGAUGAUUGGUUUAAAAUUCGCAGCAAGGCUAUAUUAGAAUAUUAGAAUAAUAGGGAUCAUAGAUAGUUAGUAC
Molecule: long non-coding RNA, 1483 nt
Organism: Mytilus californianus (California mussel)
Lineage: Eukaryota; Metazoa; Mollusca; Bivalvia; Mytilida; Mytilidae
Exons: 5
Source: RefSeq, a predicted model, not a curated record